This 492-nucleotide ribosomal RNA is filed under the name uncultured bacterium. Its description in RNAcentral is "partial 16S ribosomal RNA". It matches the Rfam family "Bacterial small subunit ribosomal RNA", at positions 29 to 507 of the family's 1533-position model. The record is from RNAcentral.
AGUGAACGCUGGCGGCAGGCCUAACACAUGCAAGUCGAACGGCAGCACAGUAAGAGCUUGCUCUUACGGGUGGCGAGUGGCGGACGGGUGACGAAUACAUCGGAAUCUACUUUUUCGUGGGGGAUAACGUAGGGAAACUUACGCUAAUAUCGCAUAUGACCUACGGGUGAAAGCAGUGGAUCUUCGGACCUUUCGCGAUUGAAUGAGCCGAUGUCGGACUAGCUAGUUGGCGGGGUACAGGCCCACCAAGGCGACGAUCCGUAGCUGGUCUGAGAGGAUGAUCAGCCGCACUGGAACGGAGACACGGUCCAGAGUCCUACGGGAGGCAGCAGUGGGGAAUAUUGGGCAAUGGGCGCAAGCCUGAUCCAGCCAUACCGCGUGGGUGAGGAAGGCCUUCGGGUUGUAAAGCCCUUUUGUUGGGAAAGAAAAGCAGCAGGUUAAUACCCCGCUGUUCUGACGGUACCCAAAGAAUAAGCACCGGCUAACUUCGUG